This is a non-coding RNA of Python bivittatus (Burmese python), 363 nucleotides long. Lineage: Eukaryota; Metazoa; Chordata; Lepidosauria; Squamata; Pythonidae. The record is from RefSeq and is a predicted model, not a curated record.
CUGGAGGGCGCUGGCUUGCCUCUUCCAGCCAUACAGGAGAACCUCUCAAGCUCCCAUGUAUUAAUUCCUCAGCAGGUGGAACUCGGAGAAACAAAGCUGCACCAAACCACUGCAUUAUUUUAUCCGUGGACCAACCGCAGAGGGAGAGGAGGUGAACCAGUUUCAAGAGAUUCCUUCUCUUCCAUGGUUACUGAGUCUGUCAAAGACCAUCUCCUACAGAAAUUGAUCCAUACUCUUUUUCAGAGAUCUUCCACUGCAUUCCAUCAUUUUGAAGCCUUUUCAAUCUGGGCCCAAGGAACAGCCACCAAGCAAAUCCCAGUACUAUGCAUAUUACGGAUUCCACAUAAUAACCGUCCAGAGUAG